GGAGAGGUGGCAGAGUGGUCGAAUGCGGCGGUCUUGAAAACCGUUGAAUCGCAAGGUUCCGGGGGUUCGAAUCCCUCCCUCUCCGCCA
Molecule: transfer RNA, 88 nt
Filed under: Chromatiales bacterium
Lineage: Bacteria; Pseudomonadati; Pseudomonadota; Gammaproteobacteria; Chromatiales
Description: tRNA-Ser
Rfam family: tRNA
About the family: Transfer RNA (tRNA) molecules are approximately 80 nucleotides in length. Their secondary structure includes four short double-helical elements and three loops (D, anti-codon, and T loops).
Source: RNAcentral